ACUCAAAUGAAUUGACGGGGACUUGCACAAGCAGUGGAUUAUGUGGUUUAAUUCGAUGAUAAACGAAAAACCUUACCAAGGUUGGAAAUUUAACUGAAGACAAGCAGAAACGUUUGUCGUCUCACAAGGACAGUUAGACAGGUGAUGCAUGGCCGUCGUCAGUUCGUAGUUUGAACCGUUCCCUUAAGUGGGGUAACGAACGCAACCCUCGUUGUCUGUUAUACGUAUCAGGCGAGACUGCCCUCGAUUUUGUUCGCAAGCGAAAGCUUGUAGAUAAAAUCGAGGGAGGAAGGCGAGGAUGACGCCAGGUCAGCAUGUCCCUUUGAUACCUUGGGCUACACACAUAAUACAAUGGCGGUUACAACGGGUCGCGACGAGGAAACUCUGAGCCAAUCCUAAUAAAGACCGCCCCAGUUCAGAUUGGGGGCUGAAACUCGACCCCAUGAAGUUGGAAUUGCUAGUAAUCGCGGGUCAGCUAUACCGCGGUGAAUACGUUCUCAAGUCUUGUACACACCGCCCGU
This 521-nucleotide ribosomal RNA is filed under the name uncultured bacterium. Its description in RNAcentral is "partial 16S ribosomal RNA". It matches the Rfam family "Bacterial small subunit ribosomal RNA", at positions 899 to 1397 of the family's 1533-position model. The record is from RNAcentral.